This 382-nucleotide ribosomal RNA is filed under the name Afroedura gorongosa (Gorongosa flat gecko). Its description in RNAcentral is "partial 16S ribosomal RNA". It matches the Rfam family "Bacterial large subunit ribosomal RNA", at positions 2042 to 2604 of the family's 2925-position model. Lineage: Eukaryota; Metazoa; Chordata; Lepidosauria; Squamata; Gekkonidae. The record is from RNAcentral.
CUGAUCUCCCAGUACAAAAGCUGAGAUAUACACAUAAGACGAGAAGACCCUGUGGAGCUUUAAGCAUUAGUACUACACUUAUACCACCAAGUCCAAAGGACCACAAACUAUACUAUAGUAUACGCUUUCAGUUGGGGCGACUGCGGAGAAAAACCAAACCUCCACGAAAACACCACUACCACAAAACCAACACGUUGACCGGUAAGACUUUGACCCAGCACCGCUGAUUACCGAACCAAGUUACCCCAGGGAUAACAGCGCCAUCCCCUUCAAGAGUCCAUAUCGCCAGGGGGGUUUACGACCUCGAUGUUGGAUCAGGACACCUAGAUGGUGUAGCCGCUAUCAAAAGUUCGUUUGUUCAACGAUUAAAGUCCUACGUGAU